UUGGAGCCUUUGCAGCCCCGCCACGCGCGGGGUACCCGGCGACUAUAAAGAAGGGUAGCAAGUAGCCGACGGCUGCAACACGAUCGAAUUGCGGGGAUCUCUUAAAGCCUGGCGGUACCAACUGGGGUGCGAAAGCGCCCCGGGGCCUGCUCACGCAGGGUGGUCACAACCCGCCAGGAUGCCACAAUAGACGAUCCGCAGCGAAGCCCCUCCCGGCGCCAGCGCCCAUGGGGACCGUUCACAGACUAGGUGAUUGUGGGUGGGCCACCGAGCCCGCUUAAGAUAUAGUCGGGCCGCGGGGGAGACCCCGCGGGCUGUUCGCAGCGCGAUACCCGUUCCGUAGGUGAACCUGCGGAAGGAUCAUUACAGAGUUCGUGCCUUAUAGUACAGGUAGAAGAUCUCCCACCCUUGCGUAUUAUACACUAUGUUGCUUCGGCGGGCCGCCGCGAGGCCCCGGCCGAUUCCGCGCUGGGCUGCGCCCGCCGAAGGACCCCUAAACCCUGAAUGUUAGUGUCGUCUGAGUACUAUAUAAUAGUUAAAACUUUCAACAACGGAUCUCUUGGUUCUGGCAUCGAUGAAGAACGCAGCGAAAUGCGAUAAGUAAUGUGAAUUGCAGAAUUCAGUGAAUCAUCGAAUCUUUGAACGCACAUUGCGCCCCUUGGUAUUCCGGGGGGCAUGCCUGUUCGAGCGUCAUUUCAACCCUCCAGCACCGCUGGGUAUUGGGCUCUGCCGGCGACGGCAGGCCUUAAAGCGAGUGGCGGCGCCUGUAGGCCCUGAACGUAGUACAAACCCCUCGUUACAGGUGCCCGCGGGACGCUGGCCAGCAACCCCAACAUACACUAUGGUUGACCUCGGAUCAGGUAGGGAUACCCGCUGAACUUAAGCAUAUCAAUAAGCGGAGGAAAAGAAACCAACAGGGAUUGCCUCAGUAACGGCGAGUGAAGCGGCAAAAGCUCAAAUUUGAAAUCUGGCCCUUUCAGGGUCCGAGUUGUAAUUUGUAGAAGAUGCUUCGGGUGUGGCCCCGGUCUAAGUUCCUUGGAACAGGACGUCAUAGAGGGUGAGAAUCCCGUAUGUGACUGGGUGCCUACGCCUAUGUGAAGCUCUUUCGACGAGUCGAGUUGUUUGGGAAUGCAGCUCAAAAUGGGUGGUAAAUUUCAUCUAAAGCUAAAUACUGGCCAGAGACCGAUAGCGCACAAGUAGAGUGAUCGAAAGAUGAAAAGCACUUUGGAAAGAGAGUUAAACAGUACGUGAAAUUGUUGAAAGGGAAGCGCUUGCAAUCAGACUUGCGCCUGGGCCAUCAUCCGGGGUUCUCCCCGGUGCACUGGCUUAGGCACAGGCCAGCAUCGGUUUCCGCGGCGGGAUAAAGGCCCUGGGAAUGUAGCCCCUCUCGGGGGGUGUUAUAGCCCAGGGUGCAAUGCCGCCUGCGGGGACCGAGGACCGC
Molecule: ribosomal RNA, 1441 nt
Filed under: Ascomycota sp. ARIZ OCOak1-9
Lineage: Eukaryota; Fungi; Ascomycota
Description: eukaryotic LSU rRNA
Rfam family: Eukaryotic large subunit ribosomal RNA (bases 847-1441)
Source: RNAcentral